This is a long non-coding RNA of Brassica oleracea var. oleracea, 655 nucleotides long. RefSeq lists it as uncharacterized. The transcript has 3 exons. Lineage: Eukaryota; Viridiplantae; Streptophyta; Magnoliopsida; Brassicales; Brassicaceae. The record is from RefSeq and is a predicted model, not a curated record.
UGAUUUUAGUCUUAAGGUUUUAGCAAACUAUUUGAUUUUCUGCUCACCUCCCUUGCUCGUGAUCCCACUCAUUGAUAGUUAGUCUGGAUUUGAUCGCGACAUUGAUUAACAGUUGUGGUGAAGAAAUCCUAAUUUGGGAUAGUUUUUAGACAUACUACUCUGGUGAGUAAUGAGGAAGCUCAAGUAUCAUGAGAAGAAGGUUCUGAAGAAAUUAAAUUUCUUGGAAUGGAAAAGAGAAGGUGGCCAACAGAUGGAUCCAACUGAUCCUUUUCGGAUUCAGAUGACUGAUAUGCUUCUCGAUAACCUGUGAGUUUUACUUACCAGUGUGUACAGCUUCUUACAAGCAAUGGCUCUUUUGUUUCCUUAGGUCUUUUCAACAAGAGAGUUAUCCUUUUUCCGCUGCUGUUACAUCGAUCUUCACUUCAUAAGCUUCGAUACAACCUGGGAGUUAUACCGACUAGGAAAAGCUUAGGCAUUAACUGAUCGGUUACCAGUUUCGUCCUUCUGUAGGCGCAGGCUAUCGACAGUCCUGGUUCACCUGAAGGUUCUUCAGUACAAUGACAAAUUGGAUGACUACGACAUGAUCGCUUAACUUUAAAACAAACUGUUAUGGCCAAUGUUAAGGAUAACCACAGAUUGACCCGCGCAGGUACUG